This 197-nucleotide unclassified non-coding RNA is filed under the name plant metagenome. RNAcentral describes it as "partial contains small subunit ribosomal RNA and internal transcribed spacer 1". The stretch from base 1 to 46 matches the Rfam family "Eukaryotic small subunit ribosomal RNA", at positions 1786 to 1831 of the family's 1831-position model. The record is from RNAcentral.
AAGUCGUAACAAGGUUUCCGUAGGUGAACCUGCGGAAGGAUCAUUAAAGAAUAUCGAGCUUCACAGCUCUUAUUCUCACCCUUUCGUUAUAUCAAACUUUGAUUGUCUUUGGCUAGCUGGCCUUUAGGGCCCUUGGCCCAGAGGCACCGGAAACCCAUCAGAAUCUCUGCCGUCUGAGUACUAUAUAAUAGUUAAAA